CGCCACAAUAAGUACAAUCUCUUGUCUCUUUAUAUUUACCCUGAAGUCCUGCAUGUGCGAGCCCCCUCCGGCCCCUCAACAGACUCAUCUGCGGCUCUGCUCCACUCGUCUGCCUCGGUCAUGGCUCCGUGUCAGACGGACCACCACAAGAUAACUGGGGAAUUUUAACAGGAUGGAAUUCCCUCGAGACGAACCUGUCGAAGACAUGAAAAUCUCCUUGACUCCCUCCUGCAUGUGUUUCUAAAACGUGUCUCCCUCAGGUGAGUCCUGUGACUGCUCCUUCACACGGCAACGCCGCCCCUUAGAGUCGUUCUGGGAAACUAAUUAUUUCUCCAUUUCUCUGAUUCCUCAAUAAUAUUCUUUAUGUCACCACUUUAACAUAUUUACAGAAAAAGGGAAGAAAGAAAAGAGUCUCCUAGUGGCUUAGUGUUUUCAUCCAUGCGUCCGGGUCUGUGUGUUCUGUCUCCCUCGAGCCUUUAGCACAGUCCUUUGCAGCAGAAUCUGCGAGCCACUGAAUUUAUCAUGUGUUUGCUUCCGCAAUCAACAGUUUCUCCCGUGUUGAGAAAUCUGCUGCAGCCUGAUGUUUACUGUCACAACUGAACCAACAAUGAAACGUGUCAAAUUUAAUAAGGAAGGACAUUGGUUUAAAAUGUCCUUCCUUAUUAAAUGGGACAAGAAAUAAAAUUUUGUUUGUGCUCAUGUGCUGAGAAUUAAAGUUUAAGUAUAUGUAACACUUUUAAAAAUAAGAAAUUAACGAAGCCUCUACGUCCAAAAGAUCUUUGAGCUGGUGGUAUUGAGAUAUUACAUAAAUUGUCACUUCCUUCAUUGUGUUUUGUGCAGCUUUACGCUGUAAAUUAUAACUAAUUUAAUCUUCAACCUACAGCACCACUGAACGCAGCAGUCCUCUUCAUUUACUCUGCUGGCUACUGACACCUAACGCUGCUAAUAUUUAAGUAAAGUUAAUGCUAAACAGCAUGUAUUAAAUGUCAGUGUUUGCACUAGGUGUGUUGUAAUGAUUCAUUCACUCACAGACGAGGUGUUUCCGAGCUCUGAAAAAGUUGCACUCGGUGUUGAACUCUACGCUAAAAUGAGGAGAAUAUGUUUUUCGGUUCCACCUUGCAGUAACUUCAAUUGACCUUCACGUGAUUGAUAAGGUUUCCAUUUGCUGCUGAAUGUUCAUAAGGUAGUACUCAGCAGCAGGUGUUCUCUCCCCGUCACAUUUCCCCCGCAGGAGGUCAGAUGUCAGAACCUGGAAACUUUAAAGUUUGCCCCAGUUUACAUUUCAGGGAGCUGAUUCAGUUUCCAGAGCGACUUGAAUCGGUGAGCUGGGACCUGCUGUUGUGCUCGAUGUUUCUAACAGGACACAUGUCUUUGUGAGAAAACGCGAGGACACACGACAGCCGAGCUCGGUCAUUCAGAAUUAUUCCCUGCACUCAGAUUAGUUGGAAAUGAUUAAAUGUGCAAAUUCCUUUCAAACUGCCUUAAUGAGUCGAGUGCCUUUGUUAUUUAUGACACUGAAGCGUUUUUUUUUUUUAAGUGUGCUGGAUGGUGACGGAGAUUAUCUCUGCCUUUCGCCUUUGUACUCCUGAAGAAGAAACAAUGUAAAGUGUUUUCAAGAACAUGCUGAAAUAAAAAGAACAAUGGCUAACUGCA
Molecule: long non-coding RNA, 1653 nt
Organism: Mugil cephalus (flathead mullet)
Lineage: Eukaryota; Metazoa; Chordata; Actinopteri; Mugiliformes; Mugilidae
Exons: 2
Source: RefSeq, a predicted model, not a curated record